RNAcentral lists this ribosomal RNA (394 nucleotides) under uncultured bacterium. RNAcentral's name for it is "bacterial SSU rRNA". It matches the Rfam family "Bacterial small subunit ribosomal RNA", at positions 30 to 431 of the family's 1533-position model. The record is from RNAcentral.
AUUGAACGCUGGCGGAAUGCUUUACACAUGCAAGUCGAACGGUAGAGGGGGCAACCCCCUUGAGAGUGGCGAACGGGUGAGUAAUAUAUCGGAACGUGCCCAGUCGUGGGGAUAACGUAGCGAAAGUUACGCUAAUACCGCAUACGAUCUAAGGAUGAAAGCGGGGGAUCGCAAGACCUCGCGCGAUUGGAGCGGCCGAUAUCAGAUUAGGUAGUUGGUGAGGUAAAGGCUCACCAAGCCAACGAUCUGUAGCUGGUCUGAGAGGACGACCAGCCACACUGGAACUGAGACACGGCCCAGACUCCUACGGGAGGCAGCAGUGGGGAAUUUUGGACAAUGGGCGCAAGCCUGAUCCAGCAAUGCCGCGUGCAGGAUGAAGGCCUUCGGUGUAACU